RNAcentral lists this long non-coding RNA (618 nucleotides) under Pongo abelii (Sumatran orangutan). RNAcentral's name for it is "lincRNA". Lineage: Eukaryota; Metazoa; Chordata; Mammalia; Primates; Hominidae. The record is from RNAcentral.
UCUAUCUUCAAGCUGCAAUGAAGCUGAGAGCCACAGAAAACACCUGUACCAUGGUUUCAGGGAGGAGUCUCUUCCCUCAGCCCAAAACAGACAGCUUUGCUGGUCAUCUGUUCUCCACUGCCAGGACGCUGCCACUCAGUGUGGAGAGAGGAAGAGGCUCUGCCUAUGGUGCAAGAAGGUCGGACUCGGCAGUUAAUACUCUUGGAUAAUGUAUUUAAGGAUGCUUAAGAAAUUGCAACAGCCACUUCAACCUUCAGCAACCACCAAACUGAUCAGUAGUCAUCAACAUUGAGACAAGACUGUACACCAGCAAAAACAUCCCAACUCAGUGAAGGCUCAAAUGAUUUUAGCAUUUUUUUAGCAAUAAAGCAUUUUUAAAUUAAACUAUAUACAUUGCUGUUUUAGACAAUGUUUUUGCACAUUCAGAAUACAGUAAAGCAUAAACAUGACUUUUAUAUACACUGGGGAAACCAAAAAAUUUGUGUGACUUACUUUAUUGCAAUAUUUGUUUUAUUGUGCUGAUCUGGAACUAAAUAUGUCUAAGGUAUGCUUGUACUGAUGAUUAUUUUAACACCAAGAUAUUUUAAAAUUCAUUAAAUAAAUUUUUAUUUAAAUAGA